This 1638-nucleotide ribosomal RNA is filed under the name Triticum aestivum (bread wheat). RNAcentral describes it as "partial small subunit ribosomal RNA". The record is from RNAcentral. Lineage: Eukaryota; Viridiplantae; Streptophyta; Magnoliopsida; Poales; Poaceae.
GAAAAAGCUCAAUCGCAACAGUAUUCUACUCCGACUCCGCACCUGUCACUCACGCUGCCUCCGUGACCUCGCUCCCUCUGCCCCUAUAUACUCCCGUCGCCGAUUGCUCGACAUCAUUGUUGUUUCUUCCUCCUUCCGCCAAUCGAUCGUCCCUCUAUAUCAUAAUAAUCGUCGAGGCGAGGCCCCCGCGCCGCCGCGCUGGGUCUGGGUGGGGACGUAUCGAAACGAUGGAGGACUUCGUGCUGAGCUACGUGGUGACCGGGCUGGCCUUCUGGUCGACGGCGUUCCUGGUGAUGCGGGCGCUGAUGCCGAAGCGGUCCUACGAGUUCUGCAACCGCGCCGUCUCCACCAUGCACGCCGUCGCCGCCGUCUGCAUGGCCUGCCUCUCCGUCCAGGAGUGGUCCUGCCCCGUCUGCCCCCUCAACGCCCCCUCCUCGCCGCGCCAGAUGAAGUCUCUGGCGGUGACGCUGUCGUACAUGAUCUACGACGCGGCGUGCUGCCACCUCAACGGCGACGUGCGGCUGGACAACACCGUGCACCACCUGGUCAGCAUCGUCGGCAUCGGCGCCGGCCUGGCCUACCAGAGGUGCGGCACGGAGAUGAUGGCGUGCAUGUUCAUCACGGAGAUCUCCAGCCCGCUGCUGCACCUCAGGGAGAUGCUCAAGGAGCUCGGCGUCAAGGACACGGACCUCAACCUCCUCGUCGAUAUUCUGUUUGCGGCGACCUUUUCGGUGGGACGGAUGGUUGGUGGACCGUACCUCACCUACGUAACCUUGACAACAGACUACCCCAUCCUCAUCAAGGUAUUUUGUAACCAGACGCGCAGAAGGACCAAACAAAUCUCCCGCCGUUCCGCUCCCUAACGAUCUCGAACCCAAAUCUCAACUUCACCUCUCUCUUUUUUUUUGGCACUUUUUUUUUGCCAAAAAAAAGUGUACCUAUUUCAAACGCCAGCUAUUCCCAACUUUUUCCGUAUGUAGUGCUUACUUUUCGAAAUGUGUAUUUCGACAAUGGGUGCAUAUGCACGUAGGAGCAAAAGGGAAUAUCCGUUACUAAGUUCCUUUUCUGUGAUGUUAUUUUCCAAUUCGCCAGGCGAUGGCUGCGGGUUUGCAACUGGUGAGCGCCUACUGGUUCUUGAGGAUCCUCAGGAUGGUCAGGUACAAGCUCGGGAAGAAGAGGCCGGCGGCGGCGGCGGCGACCAAGCUCAAUGCCAAGUGAUCCAUCCAUGUACAUACAUAUCUUGCUUGCAACCUUGAGCAAAUUACUUGCUUUCUGGCGGGAUGAGAUCGAUCGAUCGAUCAUUUGUAUGUACAAACCCACAGUGUGUGCCCGAUUUUGGCUAAGAAAAAAGGAUUAUUCAUGUAGCAUAUUAAUUGUUCCACAGGCAAGCAUCUUCCCAACAAAGGAUGCAUAUAUACAUACUGUAGCAAUUCAACUCUUGUGCAGAAACACUUUCCGAUCACUACCGCUUGCCUCCUAACUAUUUUUAGAGGAUUUUAGGCUUCUCUUCUUGCUGCUUAUACAGUUGUUAGAUUGGAUCAUUCUUGUUAUAAUUCGGUUUUGGUGUGUAAUUCCAAUGUGUAGAUUGUACCUGCAUUUUUUAUACAUGCAUGACGUGCCCUCUGUUGAUGCGCGUAG